This 434-nucleotide ribosomal RNA is filed under the name uncultured microorganism. Its description in RNAcentral is "bacterial SSU rRNA". It matches the Rfam family "Bacterial small subunit ribosomal RNA", at positions 9 to 435 of the family's 1533-position model. The record is from RNAcentral.
GAGUUUGAUCCUGGCUCAGGACGAACGCUGGCGGCGUGCCUAAUACAUGCAAGUCGAGCGGAUCUUCAUUAGCUUGCUUUUGAAGAUCAGCGGCGGACGGGUGAGUAACACGUGGGCAACCUGCCUGUAAGACUGGGAUAACUUCGGGAAACCGGAGCUAAUACCGGAUGAUCCUUUUCCUCUCAUGAGGAAAAGCUGAAAGACGGUUUCGGCUGUCACUUACAGAUGGGCCCCGCGGCGCGUUAGCUAGUUGGUGAGGUAACGGCUCACCAAGGCGACGAUGCGUAGCCGACCUGAGAGGGUGAUCGGCCACACUGGGACUGAGACACGGCCCAGACUCCUACGGGAGGCAGCAGUAGGGAAUCUUCCGCAAUGGACGAAAGUCUGACGGAGCAACGCCGCGUGAGCGAUGAAGGCCUGGUCGUAAAGCUCUG